GUGAAUCAUCAAAUUUUUGAACGCAAAUUGCACUCUCUGGCAUCCCGGAGAGUAUGCCUGUUUGAGGGUCAGUUUAAUAAAAAUCGGCGUGUCGCUUUCGUGAUGCACCGGAGGUUGGGUCUUCUUAGCUUUAGGUUAAGAGUCUUAAAAUUGAUAUCUUUUUUGCGCGCUUUUAGACGUACAUAAAUUUAUUUUAUCGUUUAUUCUGGUGCCAAUUAUCUAUUAGGUGCGGUCAUGUUAUAUGAUCUCGUGCCUAUAAUUUCUCAUCUUUUGACCUCAAAUCAGGUAAGGACACCCG
This 298-nucleotide unclassified non-coding RNA is filed under the name Glomeraceae sp. RNAcentral's name for it is "partial contains 5.8S ribosomal RNA, internal transcribed spacer 2, and large subunit ribosomal RNA". The stretch from base 1 to 71 matches the Rfam family "5.8S ribosomal RNA", at positions 84 to 154 of the family's 154-position model. Lineage: Eukaryota; Fungi; Glomeromycota; Glomeromycetes; Glomerales; Glomeraceae. The record is from RNAcentral.